This 468-nucleotide ribosomal RNA is filed under the name uncultured bacterium. RNAcentral describes it as "partial 16S ribosomal RNA". It matches the Rfam family "Bacterial small subunit ribosomal RNA", at positions 29 to 507 of the family's 1533-position model. The record is from RNAcentral.
UACUAACGCUGGCGGCGUGCUUAACACAUGCAAGUCGAACGGAAAGGCCCUGCUUUUGUGGGGUGCUCGAGUGGCGAACGGGUGAGUAACACGUGAGUAACCUGCCCUUGACUUUGGGAUAACUUCAGGAAACUGGGGCUAAUACCGGAUAGGAGCUCCUGCUGCAUGGUGGGGGUUGGAAAGUUUCGGCGGUUGGGGAUGGACUCGCGGCUUAUCAGCUUGUUGGUGGGGUAGUGGCUUACCAAGGCUUUGACGGGUAGCCGGCCUGAGAGGGUGACCGGCGGCAGUGGGAAUUAUAGAAGGACGAGAGUCGUACGGGAGGAAGCAGGGGGGAAGAGUGCAGAAUGGGCGGGGGCCUGAUGCCGCAACGCCGCGUGCGGGAUGACGGGCGUCGGGGUGUAAACCGCUGUCGCCUGUGACGAAGCGUGAGUGACGGUAAUGGGUAAAGAAGAAGCGGCUAACUACGUG